AUUGAACGCUGGCGGCAGGCCUAACACAUGCAAGUCGAGCGGAGCGGCGGAAGGGGGAGCACUGCCUAGGAAUCUGCAUGGUAGUGGGGGCCAACGCCCGGAAACGGGCGCUAAUACAGCACACUAUAAGAUGACCUUAGGUCGGCUUAGCUAGUUGGUGGGGUAAAGGCUUACCAAGGCGACGAUCCCUAACUUGUCUGAGAGGAUGAUCAGUCACACUGGAACUGAGACACGGACCAGACUCCUACGGGAGGCAGCAGUAGGGAAUAUUGGACAAUGGCCGAAAGCCUGAUCCAGCCAUGCCGCGUGAGUGAAGAAGGUCUUCGGAUUGUAAAGCACUUUGGGUUGGGAAGCGUUACCAACAGAGUAAGCACCGGCUAACUUCGUGCCAGCAGCCGCGGUAAUUC
Molecule: ribosomal RNA, 407 nt
Filed under: uncultured bacterium
Lineage: Bacteria
Description: partial 16S ribosomal RNA
Rfam family: Bacterial small subunit ribosomal RNA
Source: RNAcentral